GAAGCUGACCAGACAGUCGCCGCUUUGUCGUCGUCCCUCUCUGAGGGAGACGGGCAAAGGGGAGGAAAGUCCGGGCUCCAUAGGGCAGGGUGCCAGGUAACGCCUGGGGGGGAAACCCACGACCAGUGCAACAGAGAGCAAACCGCCGAUGGCCCAGUAAUGGGAUCAGGUAAGGGUGAAAGGGUGCGGUAAGAGCGCACCGCGCGGCUGGUAACAGUCCGUGGCACGGUAAACUCCACCCGGAGCAAGGCCAAAUAGGGGUUCACAUGGUACGGCCCGUACUGAACCCGGGUAGGCUGCUUGAGCCAGUAAGCGAUUACUGGCCUAGAUGAAUGACUGUCCACGACAGAACCCGGCUUAUCGGUCAGUUUCGACU
RNAcentral lists this RNase P RNA (376 nucleotides) under Pantoea stewartii. RNAcentral describes it as "RNase P RNA component class A". It matches the Rfam family "Bacterial RNase P class A". From Rfam's summary of the family: Ribonuclease P (RNase P) is a ubiquitous endoribonuclease, found in archaea, bacteria and eukarya as well as chloroplasts and mitochondria. Its best characterised activity is the generation of mature 5'-ends of tRNAs by cleaving the 5'-leader elements of precursor-tRNAs. The record is from RNAcentral. Lineage: Bacteria; Pseudomonadati; Pseudomonadota; Gammaproteobacteria; Enterobacterales; Erwiniaceae. RNAcentral also lists the same sequence under 4 other names.